Molecule: ribosomal RNA, 412 nt
Filed under: uncultured microorganism
Description: bacterial SSU rRNA
Rfam family: Archaeal small subunit ribosomal RNA
Source: RNAcentral
CAGCCGCCGCGGUAAUACCAACCCCGCGAGUGGUCGGGACGUUUAUUGGGCCUAAAGCGUCCGUAGCCGGCCCGGUAAGUCCCUCCUUAAAGCCCACGGCUCAACCGUGGGAGCGGAGGGAUACUGCCGGGCUAGGGGGCGGGAGAGGCCGGGGGUACUCCUGGGGUAGGGGCGAAAUCCUAUAAUCCCAGGAGGACCACCAGUAGCGAAGGCGCCCGGCUAGCACGCGCCCGACGGUGAGGGACGAAAGCUGGGGGAGCAAAGGGGAUUAGAUACCCCCGUAGUCCCAGCGGUAAACGAUGCAGGCUAGGUGUGAGGCGGGCUUCGUGCCCGCCUAGUGCCGUAGGGAAGCCGUUAAGCCUGCCGCCUGGGGAGUACGGCCGCAAGGCUGAAACUUAAAGGAAUUGGCGGG